RNAcentral lists this ribosomal RNA (468 nucleotides) under uncultured bacterium. RNAcentral's name for it is "partial 16S ribosomal RNA". It matches the Rfam family "Bacterial small subunit ribosomal RNA", at positions 28 to 507 of the family's 1533-position model. The record is from RNAcentral.
GACGAACGCUGGCGGCGUGCUUAACACAUGCAAGUCGAACGGAAAGGCCCUGCUUUUGUGGGGUGCUCGAGUGGCGAACGGGUGAGUAACACGUGAGUAACCUGCCCUUGACUUUGGGAUAACUUCAGGAAACUGGGGCUAAUACCGGAUAGGAGCUCAUGCUGCAUGGUGGGGGUUGGAAAGUUUCGGCGGUUGGGGAUGGACUCGCGGCUUAUCAGCUUGUUGGUGGGGUAGUGGCUUACCAAGGCUUUGACGGGUAGCCGGCCUGAGAGGGUGACCGGCCACAUUGGGACUGAGAUACGGACCAGACUCCUACGGGAGGCAGCAGUGGGGAAUAUUGCACAAUGGGCGGAAGCCUGAUGCAGCAACGCCGCGUGCGGGAUGACGGCCUUCGGGUUGUAAACCGCUUUCGCCUGUGACGAAGCGUGAGUGACGGUAAUGGGUAAAGAAGCACCGGCUAACUACGUG